Molecule: ribosomal RNA, 342 nt
Filed under: Escherichia coli
Lineage: Bacteria; Pseudomonadati; Pseudomonadota; Gammaproteobacteria; Enterobacterales; Enterobacteriaceae
Description: partial 23S ribosomal RNA
Rfam family: Bacterial large subunit ribosomal RNA
Source: RNAcentral
UGGGUUUAGAACGUCGUGAGACAGUUCGGUCCCUAUCUGCCGUGGGCGCUGGAGAACUGAGGGGGGCUGCUCCUAGUACGAGAGGACCGGAGUGGACGCAUCACUGGUGUUCGGGUUGUCAUGCCAAUGGCACUGCCCGGUAGCUAAAUGCGGAAGAGAUAAGUGCUGAAAGCAUCUAAGCACGAAACUUGCCCCGAGAUGAGUUCUCCCUGACCCUUUAAGGGUCCUGAAGGAACGUUGAAGACGACGACGUUGAUAGGCCGGGUGUGUAAGCGCAGCGAUGCGUUGAGCUAACCGGUACUAAUGAACCGUGAGGCUUAACCUUACAACGCCGAAGCUGUU